GGGGGAUUAGAGGCAGAGUUUGGAAACGCCAGUUGUGUGUCCUGCCGCCCUCUCUAGAUUCUCCUUCUUCCAGUAUUUGGUGGUCUUCGUUCCUUUAUUUAGUUACCCAUAGCCUCUUAAAAUUGUAUCCUGACAAAGACCACAUCAGCACAUUACCCCGCACUGAUCCACUAGAUGGCGCUGUCUCAAGCUGGCAGAACACACCAGCAGGUGUCUCGGAGCUCAUUAUGUGCUCACAGAACGUGAAGCGUGGUCCUUGUGGAGUAAAUCCACUCGAGAACGAGGCUCUGAGGCUUCUCGGCUGCCUUCCUGACUCCGUCCCGGGAUAAAGACGUCCAAAUCAUUUCUAAAUGUUUUUACUCUGACAUAAAGUAAGCCAUUUCUUGUUCUGUUCUCUGAGACAGA
RNAcentral lists this long non-coding RNA (405 nucleotides) under Bos grunniens (domestic yak). Its description in RNAcentral is "lncRNA (ENSBGRG00000021385.1)". The record is from RNAcentral. Lineage: Eukaryota; Metazoa; Chordata; Mammalia; Artiodactyla; Bovidae.